CUCCUACGGGAGGCAGCAGUGGGGAAUCUUAGACAAUGGGCGCAAGCCUGAUCUAGCGAUGCCGCGUGAGUGAUGAAGGCCCUAGGGUCGUAAAGCUCUUUCGCCAGGGAUGAUAAUGACAGUACCUGGUAAAGAAACCCCGGCUAACUCCGUGCCAGCAGCCGCGGUAAUACGGAGGGGGUUAGCGUUGUUCGGAAUUACUGGGCGUAAAGCGUACGUAGGCGGAUCAGAAAGUUAGGGGUGAAAUCCCGAGGCUCAACCUCGGAACUGCCUCUAAAACUCCUGGUCUUGAGUUCGAGAGAGGUGAGUGGAAUUCCAAGUGUAGAGGUGAAAUUCGUAGAUAUUUGGAGGAACACCAGUGGCGAAGGCGGCUCACUGGCUCGAUACUGACGCUGAGGUACGAAAGUGUGGGGAGCAAACAGGAUUAGAUACCCUGGUAGUCCACACCGUAAACGAUGAAUGCCAGACGUCAGCAGGCAUGCCUGUUGGUGUCACACCUAACGGAUUAAGCAUUCCGCCUGGGGAGUACGGUCGCAAGAUUAAAACUCAAAGGAAUUGACGG
RNAcentral lists this ribosomal RNA (562 nucleotides) under uncultured bacterium. RNAcentral's name for it is "bacterial SSU rRNA". It matches the Rfam family "Bacterial small subunit ribosomal RNA", at positions 336 to 916 of the family's 1533-position model. The record is from RNAcentral.